Aricia agestis (brown argus) is the source of this 586-nucleotide long non-coding RNA. RefSeq lists it as uncharacterized. Lineage: Eukaryota; Metazoa; Arthropoda; Insecta; Lepidoptera; Lycaenidae. The record is from RefSeq and is a predicted model, not a curated record. The transcript has 2 exons.
ACUUUAGCAUUCCAAAAAUUGUGCAAUCGUUUGUUUCCAUACAAAAUGGAUACAAUAUAAGCCAAAACGCAUUCAAAAUUGGGUCAUACGAAUAUUGGACUAUAAACAUGAUUCUGAAAGUGUUCACUCUUGCAGCGUUUUUAUUACUAGAGGUAUCUCUAGUUAGAGGUCAGUGGUAUGGAGGCUACGACUGUGGGCAGUACAGUCAGCAAUACAUCAUCGUGAAUCCAUACGGAUCAUACGACGACAUUUACUCACAAUACAGUUCCUACCCGUACAAUGAUCAUCAAUUUUACAGCGGCUACACCCAAACCCCGCAGUAUCCUCAGCAACCCAUCGUUGUAGUCGUCAAUAAUGACCGCUCAGAUUGUGACGUGGAUGAUAUUCUGUCUCUCAUAUUCCCUAUGGAGGAGAAAAGGAAGGACCCUGUGUAUGUACCGGUGCCCAUAGUAAUGGAGACUAGCAAUGGGUGUGAAUGUAAAUGUGAGUGCAGGUGUGAGUGUUCGAGGUCCGACUACUGUCCUCGUUGCGACUCUCCCAAGAAUAGAUGUAAAUGCAAAGAAGAUUGCCAAUGCAAGAAGAAAGA